Molecule: ribosomal RNA, 160 nt
Filed under: Vibrio parahaemolyticus
Lineage: Bacteria; Pseudomonadati; Pseudomonadota; Gammaproteobacteria; Vibrionales; Vibrionaceae
Description: partial 16S ribosomal RNA
Rfam family: Bacterial small subunit ribosomal RNA
Source: RNAcentral
UGGGGAAUAUUGCACAAUGGGCGCAAGCCUGAUGCAGCCAUGCCGCGUGUGUGAAGAAGGCCUUCGGGUUGUAAAGCACUUUCAGUCGUGAGGAAGGUGGUAGUGUUAAUAGCACUAUCAUUUGACGUUAGCGACAGAAGAAGCACCGGCUAAUCCCGUG